RNAcentral lists this ribosomal RNA (564 nucleotides) under Rhodotorula mucilaginosa. RNAcentral's name for it is "eukaryotic LSU rRNA". The stretch from base 183 to 336 matches the Rfam family "5.8S ribosomal RNA". Lineage: Eukaryota; Fungi; Basidiomycota; Microbotryomycetes; Sporidiobolales; Sporidiobolaceae. The record is from RNAcentral.
CCGUAGGUGAACCUGCGGAAGGAUCAUUAGUGAAUAUAGGACGUCCAACUUAACUUGGAGUCCGAACUCUCACUUUCUAACCCUGUGCACUUGUUUGGGAUAGUAACUCUCGCAAGAGAGCGAACUCCUAUUCACUUAUAAACACAAAGUCUAUGAAUGUAUUAAAUUUUAUAACAAAAUAAAACUUUCAACAACGGAUCUCUUGGCUCUCGCAUCGAUGAAGAACGCAGCGAAAUGCGAUAAGUAAUGUGAAUUGCAGAAUUCAGUGAAUCAUCGAAUCUUUGAACGCACCUUGCGCUCCAUGGUAUUCCGUGGAGCAUGCCUGUUUGAGUGUCAUGAAUACUUCAACCCUCCUCUUUCUUAAUGAUUGAAGAGGUGUUUGGUUUCUGAGCGCUGCUGGCCUUUACGGUCUAGCUCGUUCGUAAUGCAUUAGCAUCCGCAAUCGAACUUCGGAUUGACUUGGCGUAAUAGACUAUUCGCUGAGGAAUUCUAGUCUUCGGAUUAGAGCCGGGUUGGGUUAAGAGGAAGCUUCUAAUCAGAAUGUCUACAUUUAAGAUUAGAUCU